UGGGGAAUUUUGGACAAUGGGGGAAACCCUGAUCCAGCCAUCCCGCGUGUGCGAUGAAGGCCUUCGGGUUGUAAAGCACUUUUGGCAGGAAAGAAACGUCAUGGGUUAAUACCCCGUGAAACUGACGGUACCUGCAGAAUAAGCACCGGCUAACUACGUGCCAGCAGCCGCGGUAAUACGUAGGGUGCAAGCGUUAAUCGGAAUUACUGGGCGUCAAGCGUGCGCAGGCGGUUCGGAAAGAAAGAUGUGAAAUCCCAGAGCUCAACUUUGGAACUGCAUUUUUAACUACCGGGCUAGAGUGUGUCAGAGGGAGGUGGAAUUCCGCGUGUAGCAGUGAAAUGCGUAGAUAUGCGGAGGAACACCGAUGGCGAAGGCAGCCUCCUGGGAUAACACUGACGCUCAUGCACGAAAGCGUGGGGAGCAAACAGG
This 429-nucleotide ribosomal RNA is filed under the name Acidobacteriota bacterium. RNAcentral describes it as "Acidobacteria bacterium partial 16S ribosomal RNA". It matches the Rfam family "Bacterial small subunit ribosomal RNA", at positions 355 to 776 of the family's 1533-position model. The record is from RNAcentral. Lineage: Bacteria; Pseudomonadati; Acidobacteriota.